UACGGAGGGUGCAAGCGUUAUCCGGAUUUACUGGGUUUAAAGGGUGCGUAGGUGGGUCUGUAAGUCAGCGGUGAAAUCUCCGAGCUUAACUCGGAAACUGCCAUUGAUACUAUAGGUCUUGAAUUAUCUGGAGGUAAGCGGAAUAUGUCAUGUAGCGGUGAAAUGCUUAGAUAUGACAUAGAACACCAAUUGCGAAGGCAGCUUACUACGGAUAUAUUGACACUGAGGCACGAAAGCGUGGGGAUCAAACAGG
Molecule: ribosomal RNA, 253 nt
Filed under: uncultured bacterium
Lineage: Bacteria
Description: partial 16S ribosomal RNA
Rfam family: Bacterial small subunit ribosomal RNA
Source: RNAcentral